GGCCCCUUGGUCAAGUGGUUAAGACAUCGCCCUUUCACGGCGGCAACAUGGGUUCGAAUCCCGUAGGGGUCACCA
RNAcentral lists this transfer RNA (75 nucleotides) under Clostridiaceae bacterium. Its description in RNAcentral is "tRNA-Glu". It matches the Rfam family "tRNA". Rfam says of the family: Transfer RNA (tRNA) molecules are approximately 80 nucleotides in length. The record is from RNAcentral. Lineage: Bacteria; Bacillati; Bacillota; Clostridia; Eubacteriales; Clostridiaceae.